This is a long non-coding RNA of Bombus huntii, 1492 nucleotides long. RefSeq lists it as uncharacterized. The record is from RefSeq and is a predicted model, not a curated record. The transcript is spliced from 2 exons. NCBI's taxonomy places the organism in Eukaryota, Metazoa, Arthropoda, Insecta, Hymenoptera, Apidae.
CUAAUUUCAACUGGGCGUCCAAUAAGGCCCAAAACGGAAUAUACAUGCUGAUUGGUUUUUAUCGAACGCAAGAAAAUAGCCAAUCAGCAGGUUCGCUCAUUCUUCUUCCGUGCGCUCGAAGUGCCGAAGAUCCUGGGCGGGAAAAACGCAUUUUGAAUUAUAUCACAAUAUAUGUAUAUACAUAUAUGUCGGAGAAGAGUCAGGAACGGGGUUGUGGGCGUUUGAUAGACCUCCCUUGGAGUUGGCCAUCGUUGUGUAAUAACGAAGAUACGGUCUGAUGCUACGAGUAUGGACACUACCGAUUCGACAAUCAACAGCGAUGGUUGGGCACUUGCGAUGUUAGUGACGUUGGUCUUAGGUUCGAUGACGAAUCCACGGUCAACGGGAUGAAAUAUAUACUUGCUCUAACUCAAACUCACUGAUCGUCAGGCGCUACUCCCUUCGUCAGUGGGAUCUCAAGAAAGAAUGAAUUUUCAUCCCAAUGGUGCCACAGAGGAAAACUAUGAUGGGGUGUGUCUAAGGACACGAGAUCAUCGGAUUCGUCGGGUAUAGCCCUCGUUCCGAAAGUAAGGGAAAUUGACGUCGCUGUCAAUUGGUCAGUUUGGGACAAAGACUGUCUGUCCGUUUGGAAAAUCUUAAUUGCCGGAAAAACCCAGGUUUUAUAGCGGGUCCUCGGGCUAACUGGACUUGUGCUGUGUACGUGCCUCAACAUCAGGUAUUCAUUGUCCGAAGGAACCGUUGGAAUGUUUUACUGUCAAGUACCUCUAUUGGUAUUUCUUUUAAUGAGGGUCAUACUAUAACUCCACACCUUUGUUAGGCGAAGCGCCCGUCCCGUUGACCGCGGCUACGUUCGGCGACUGUUGGUCGCCUUGAGCCCAAGUUUAUUAUCACAAAUCGCAAACAAGUACAAUUGGGUAGGAUGACGGCAGAUUGUUUAAUUACGACUGUAAACUUUAAUUACAAUCUUACGGAUUUUCCCGAAGUUCCAGAGGGAAGGCUCCGGUGUCCUUUCAUCUCCGACAUAUAAAAGGUUAAGAAAAUGUAAGAUAAAAUUUCUUGAAUUGAAAAACAUUUCUCUUUCGUUCAGAAAUAUUUAUAUCUUGUUCAUAUCAUAUGAGUAAAUAUUCAAUAUUAAUUACUACAGUAAUAUCCAUACUUUAAAAAUAAAUGAAAAAGAGGAAAGAUAUGUAUGUUUGACAGCAUAAAAAUAAAAUUUUAAUUUAUGCAAGCACGGAAAAUUAUUUGACUACCAACGGAAUAAAUGUAUUAAAUAUAAAUAUUAAAAAAAAUAUUCUAUGAAGAAUAGCAUUAAUAUACACACAUAUAUAUAUAUAAACAUUUUUUAUAAUGCAUAUUUUAUAUAACUAUAACAGGAAACUGGAUAGAAUGGAAGAAGGACUAGUAUAUUCUUCCACUUAUGCUUAUGUUUAUUUAUUAAUUGUAGCGACUUAAGUCAUUAAACUUGAAAAUUUAAUAAAAAUAUUCACAGUGA